Long non-coding RNA from Daphnia pulicaria, 591 nucleotides. RefSeq lists it as uncharacterized. The transcript is spliced from 3 exons. The record is from RefSeq and is a predicted model, not a curated record. Lineage: Eukaryota; Metazoa; Arthropoda; Branchiopoda; Diplostraca; Daphniidae.
AGAAAAGAAACUUAAGACUGCUUUGCUCUUCUUAUGAAUGUCGUAUGAAACUUAUGUUUGUUACUUAGACUAUGUUAAGUAGAGAGGAAACAAACAAACUGCCAUUUUAUUAUUUAAGAUUGAAUUCUGUUGGGUUGGGAUUGGGGCAAAAGUGCAUCAACACAUUUUUGAGAAACCAGCAAGUUUUUGUGUUGGAUCUUGGAUGUUAAUGAGGAAAUUGAUGGCUCAUAAUUGCAACUAUUACCUCAAAUGCCCAAUAACUGACAGAAUCAAUUUGAUUCUAUUCACAUCCGCUGCUUCAAAAAAUGUGUAUAUCGUUAGUAAGGACCAAUAAAUGUAGAAUGCAUCACAUGUUGUUCAUUGUUACAUCACCAUGUACGCAAAUAUUAAAAAACAGGACACUCAACCCAAGCCAACUCGACAAGUUUUAUUUCAUCUCAAGAGUCUGAAUAUUGCUCAAAUUUAUGAUAUAUUGGUGAAUAUAUAUAUGACUCAAACUCAAACGUCAACCUGCAAAAGGAAAGGCCAGUUUGCAUGGCCUCGACGCUCGAAGGUCACGGAGAUCAUUACGUAAAACGUGUCAUGCAGCGG